RNAcentral lists this ribosomal RNA (491 nucleotides) under uncultured bacterium. Its description in RNAcentral is "partial 16S ribosomal RNA". It matches the Rfam family "Bacterial small subunit ribosomal RNA", at positions 29 to 507 of the family's 1533-position model. The record is from RNAcentral.
AGUGAACGCUGGCGGUAGGCCUAACACAUGCAAGUCGAACGGCAGCACAGUAAGAGCUUGCUCUUACGGGUGGCGAGUGGCGGACGGGUGAGGAAUACAUCGGAAUCUACUUUUUCGUGGGGAUAACGUAGGGAAACUUACGCUAAUACCGCAUACGACCUACGGGUGAAAGCAGGGGAUCUUCGGACCUUGCGCGAUUGAAUGAGCCGAUGUCGAAUUAGCUAGUUGGCGGGGUAAAGGCCCACCAAGGCGACGAUCCGUAGCUGGUCUGAGAGGAUGAUCAGCCACACUGGAACUGAGACACGGUCCAGACUCCUACGGGAGGCAGCAGUGGGGAAUAUUGGACAAUGGGCGCAAGCCUGAUCCAGCCAUACCGCGUGGGUGAAGAAGGCCUUCGGGUUGUAAAGCCCUUUUGUUGGGAAAGAAAAGCAGCAGGUUAAUACCCCGCUGUUCUGACGGUACCCAAAGAAUAAGCACCGGCUAACUUCGUG